GGAUCCAGACUUUGAUCAUGGCUCAGGAUGAACGCUAGCUACAGGCUUAACACAUGCAAGUCGAGGGGAAACGAUAUUGGAAGCUUGCUUCCGAUAGGCGUCGACCGGCGCACGGGUGAGUAACGCGUAUCCAACCUGCCCACCACUUGGGGAUAACCUUGCGAAAGUAAGACUAAUACCCAAUGAUAUCUCUAGAAGACAUCUGAAAGGGAUUAAAGAUUUAUCGGUGAUGGAUGGGGAUGCGUCUGAUUAGCUUGUUGGCGGGGUAACGGCCCACCAAGGCGACGAUCAGUAGGGGUUCUGAGAGGAAGGUCCCCCACAUUGGAACUGAGACACGGUCCAAACUCCUACGGGAGGCAGCAGUGAGGAAUAUUGGUCAAUGGACGAGAGUCUGAACCAGCCAAGUAGCGUGCAGGAUGACGGCCCUAUGGGUUGUAAACUGCUUUUAUAAGGGAAUAAAGUGAGCUACGUGUAGCUUUUUGCAUGUACCUUAUGAAUAAGGACCGGCUAAUUCCGUGCCAGCAGCCGCGGUAAUACGGAAGGUCCGGGCGUUAUCCGGAUUUAUUGGGUUUAAAGGGAGCGUAGGCCGGAGAUUAAGCGUGUUGUGAGAUGUAGAUGCUCAACAUCUGCACUGCAGCGCGAACUGGUUUCCUUGAGUACGCACAAAGUGGGCGGAAUUCGUGGUGUAGCGGUGAAAUGCUUAGAUAUCACGAAGAACUCCGAUUGCGAAGGCAGCUCACUGGAGCGCAACUGACGCUGAAGCUCGAAAGUGCGGGUAUCGAACAGGAUUAGAUACCCUGGUAGUCCGCACGGUAAACGAUGGAUGCCCGCUGUUGGUCUGAAUAGGUCAGCGGCCAAGCGAAAGCAUUAAGCAUCCCACCUGGGGAGUACGCCGGCAACGGUGCAACUCAAAGGAAUUGACGG
This 924-nucleotide ribosomal RNA is filed under the name uncultured Bacteroidota bacterium. RNAcentral's name for it is "bacterial SSU rRNA". It matches the Rfam family "Bacterial small subunit ribosomal RNA", at positions 1 to 916 of the family's 1533-position model. Lineage: Bacteria; Pseudomonadati; Bacteroidota. The record is from RNAcentral.